RNAcentral lists this ribosomal RNA (444 nucleotides) under uncultured bacterium. Its description in RNAcentral is "partial 16S ribosomal RNA". It matches the Rfam family "Bacterial small subunit ribosomal RNA", at positions 338 to 795 of the family's 1533-position model. The record is from RNAcentral.
CCUACGGGAGGCAGCAGUGAGGAAUAUUGGUCAAUGGGCGCGAGCCUGAACCAGCCAAGUAGCGUGAAGGAUGACUGCCCUACGGGUUGUAAACUUCUUUUCUCAGGGACGAAGCAAGUGACGGUACCUGAGGAAUAAGCCACGGCUAACUACGUGCCAGCAGCCGCGGUAAUACGUAGGUGGCAAGCGUUAUCCGGAUUUACUGGGUGUAAAGGGCGUGUAGGCGGGAAAGCAAGUCAGAUGUGAAAACCAUGGGCUCAACCUGUGGCCUGCAUUUGAAACUGUUUUUCUUGAGUACUGGAGAGGCAGACAGAAUUCCUAGUGUAGCGGUGAAAUGCGUAGAUAUUAGGAGGAACACCAGUGGCGAAGGCGGUCUGCUGGACAGCAACUGACGCUGAGGCGCGAAAGCGUGGGGAGCAAACAGGAUUAGAUACCCGAGUAGUC